UACGUAGGUGGCAAGCGUUGUCCGGAAUUAUUGGGCGUAAAGCGCGCGCAGGCGGUCCUUUAAGUCUGAUGUGAAAGCCCACGGCUUAACUGAGGAAGUGCAUCCGAAACUGAGUAGCUAGAGUACGAAAGAGGGUCGCGGAAUUCCCGGUGUAGAGGUGAAAUUCGUAGAUAUCGGGAGGAACACCGGUGGCGAAGGCGGCGACCUGGGUCGAGACUGACGCUGAGGCGCGAAAGCGUGGGGAGCAAACAGG
Molecule: ribosomal RNA, 253 nt
Filed under: uncultured bacterium
Lineage: Bacteria
Description: partial 16S ribosomal RNA
Rfam family: Bacterial small subunit ribosomal RNA
Source: RNAcentral